RNAcentral lists this ribosomal RNA (327 nucleotides) under uncultured bacterium. RNAcentral describes it as "bacterial SSU rRNA". It matches the Rfam family "Bacterial small subunit ribosomal RNA", at positions 28 to 349 of the family's 1533-position model. The record is from RNAcentral.
GAUGAACGCUAGCGGCAGGCUUAACACAUGCAAGUCGAGGGGCAGCGCGGUGUAGCAAUACAUUGGCGGCGACCGGCGCACGGGUGCGUAACACGUAUGGAACUUACCCUUUACUGGGAGAUAGCCCGGAGAAAUCCGGAUUAAUAUCCCAUAAUAAACGAAGUGGCAUCACUUUGUUUGUAAAGCUCCGGCGGUAAAGGAUGGCCAUGCGCACGAUUAGCUAGUAGGUGAGGUAACGGCGUCACCUAGGCUACGAUCGUUAGGGGGCCGUGAGAGGGUUAUCCCCACCACUGGUACUGAGACACGGACCAGACUCCUACGGGAGGC